RNAcentral lists this ribosomal RNA (497 nucleotides) under uncultured bacterium. RNAcentral describes it as "partial 16S ribosomal RNA". It matches the Rfam family "Bacterial small subunit ribosomal RNA", at positions 28 to 507 of the family's 1533-position model. The record is from RNAcentral.
GAUGAACGCUGGCGGCGUGCCUAAUACAUGCAAGUCGAGCGAACAGACGAGGAGCUUGCUCCUCUGACGUUAGCGGCGGACGGGUGAGUAACACGUGGAUAACCUACCUAUAAGACUGGGAUAACUUCGGGACACCGGAGCUAAUACCGGAUAAUAUAUUGAACCGCAUGGUUCAAUAGUGAAAGACGGUUUUGCUGUCACUUAUAGAUGGAUCCGCGCCGCAUUAGCUAGUUGGUAAGGUAACGGCUUACCAAGGCAACGAUGCGUAGCCGACCUGUGAGGGUGAUCGGCCACACUGGAACUGAGACACGGUCCAGACUCCUACGGGAGGCAGCAGUAGGGAAUCUUCCGCAAUGGGCGAAAGCUUGACGGAGCAACGCCGCGUGAGUGAUGAAGGUCUUCGGAUCGUAAAACUCUGUUAUUAGGGAAAAACAAAUGUGUAAGUAACUAUGCACGUCUUGACGGUACCUAAUCAGAAAGCCACGGCUAACUACGUG